CCUACGGGUGGCAGCAGUGAGGAAUAUUGGUCAAUGGACGAGAGUCUGAACCAGCCAAGUAGCGUGAAGGAUGACUGCCCUAUGGGUUGUAAACUUCUUUUAUAUGGGAAUAAAACGUUCCACGUGUGGGAUUUUGUAUGUACCAUAUGAAUAAGGAUCGGCUAACUCCGUGCCAGCAGCCGCGGUAAUACGGAGGAUCCGAGCGUUAUCCGGAUUUAUUGGGUUUAAAGGGAGCGUAGGUGGAUUGUUAAGUCAGUUGUGAAAGUUUGCGGCUCAACCGUAAAAUUGCAGUUGAAACUGGCAGUCUUGAGUACAGUAGAGGUGGGCGGAAGUCGUGGUGUAGCGGUGAAAUGCUUAGAUAUCACGAAGAACUCCGAUUGCGAAGGCAGUUCACUGGACUGCAACUGACACUGAGGCUCGAAAGUGUGGGUAUCAAACAGGAGUAGAUACCCGUGUAGUC
RNAcentral lists this ribosomal RNA (460 nucleotides) under uncultured bacterium. Its description in RNAcentral is "partial 16S ribosomal RNA". It matches the Rfam family "Bacterial small subunit ribosomal RNA", at positions 338 to 795 of the family's 1533-position model. The record is from RNAcentral.